GGAAGGCCUUUCUCUCCAUGCUCCUUUUGCGGGAACUCCCUGGCACCAAGGCCAGGGGGGAAAGGACAGUCUCUGAUGAGGAUGGGUCUCUAGGCUGCUCUGAGUGCUGUCCCUGCACUGAAGAAGUUAUAGUUCCCUCCCAGGCGGCCCCCCUCCCUGCCCCUCAGCUCAGCCUCAAUCAAGAAGUUCCCCAUCUUUGAUCACCACUCCAAGUAGGAGAAACCGGCCCAGGGCUGCCUUAGAGCCGAGAACAGUGGUGAGUUAAGGGCCAGCAUGGACAGCAACUCUGGGUUACAGUUAAGCUGGUGAGGAGCUCACAGUCCCAGGCAGAAAGCUCCUACUGUCCCUGACUCCUGGCUCCCAGCUGGAGAUCCCCACUGAGGAUGCUGCAGCAGGUUCCGCAGGUCUUACCCUUCAGUGUCCGCAAGAGCAGGGUCGGGGACAUCAGGGGCCGGCAUGGGACAGGGCCGGGCCUCCCAGCACCUGGUAACCCUCUCACUUACGGACAGAGCUGGCCAUGACGGAGGAGGUAUGGAUGGGUACCUGGAGGCCCCAUCGCCCCCGGGGACCCAUCAUGGCCCUCUACAGCAGCCCUGGACCCAAGUACCUGAUUCCACCAACAACAGGCUUCAUGAAGCACACGCCCACCAAGCUGCGUGCACCGGCCUACAGCUUCCGUGGGGCCCCCAUGCUCCUGGCAGAGAACUGCUCCCCAGGGCCCCGUUACAAUGUAAACCCCAAGAUACUGAGGACUGGCAAGGACCUUGGCCCUGCCUACUCCAUCCUGGGGCGCUACCAAACCAAGACCAUGCUGACUCCUGGUCCAGCCCUGAAGUCAGCAUUUCCAUCCUGGACACCCCCUGACCAGACUUGGUCACCACCUGUGUUGGAGCCCAGAGGCCCCACGCCUAGAAUGUUGGGGAGUCCUCCUUGAGCCCCCAAACUGGGCUGCAUACCCACCUGCUUGUCCCAGCAGCCCCCUUGGCUCCUUGUCCAGGUGACUACUUUCCAGAGAAAUCCACCAAGUACGUGUUCGACUCAGCGCCCAGCCACUCCAUCUCUGCCCGGACAAAGGCAUUCCGAGUGGACAGCACCCCAGGUCCGCAGCAGCCCCAACCGUCCUCAGCCAAAUGGACCUGGGGAUCCUGGGUGGGGUGUGUGACAUGGGGCAGCCCGACGGCUGAUCUCCAGAGUUGGGGGAGAGCCCCAGGGAAGGAGCAGUGGGCCCUGUUCCGGCCUGAGGCUCCACGUCCACCCUGCAGGCCCCGCUGCGUACAUGCUGCCCAUGGUAAUGGGGCCCAAUACCAUCGGCAAGGCCUCCCAGCCCUCCUUUUCCAUCAAGGGCCGCAGCAAGCUGGGCGGCUUCAGCGACGACCUACACAAGGCAAGGGUCACCCCAACUGAGAACAGAGAAUCACCCCCAACCAUCUGAACCCUCCCCCGGAACCCAGGACCCACCAGUUCGGCCCUGCCUUGCCAAUGCCCCUCAGCCCCCUCAGCCCUUCACCCUCUGGGCACCUGCCACGUGCUGGGGUUACACUGCAGUGGUGAGGAGGGGCAGGCAACAGGCCAGAAGGGAGAGGCCCUGGCCCCAGCAUGGACCGUGCUGAGGACAAGAGAUGGGGUUUAGGAAGCACUGUCUGGAGAGAGAGAGGCAAUCUUAGAUAGGGUAGCAUGGAAAGAAGAGGAGGAGGCAAGAAUAAACCAUGAGCUAUUUGGGGGAGGAGGGUCCUGGUUUCAGAAACAGCCAGUGCUAAGCCCCUGGGUGGCACAUGCCUGAGAGCUUGAGGGGCCUGAGAUGGGGAAGCAGCAUCAUGGCACCCAACAGCCCUCGUCCAUGUUGAUUUUGCCAGCCCCAGGCCCUCAGGUCCAACAGGGCAGCAACAGCCUCUCUCACACACGCUCAGCGAUGUUCCCAGGACUGGCACACACUGGGGAUGCCAUUGCCAGCGUGAGGCUGAAAUGGAGGAAGUGACCCCCACAUGAGGUACCCCACAAGCAGUGGGGUGUGAUCUCCACAGUGUGACAGAAGACAGAAGGGGACCUUGAUGCACGGGCACCAACUUGUAGCUGACCCUGUUGACUCAGAGCCUGAGUUUGCUCCCUGUCCUCUAGGGCCACACGCCCUGGGUAGGCCGAGUUGGUCUGAGCCUCCUUUACCUCUCAGACCCCAGGUCCCGCAGCCUACCGCCAAACUGAUGUGCGGGUGACCAAGUUCAAGGCUCCGCAGUACACCAUGGCUGCCCGUGUGGAGCCCCCAGGGGACAAGACCCUCAAGCCAGGACCAGGCGCCCACAGCCCUGAGAAGGUCCAGGAAGAGCACAGCUCAGAGGGGUCAGGGUGGGGCGGGGUCCUGGCCCAGAGGGAUGUGUAGGAAAGAGCAGGGAGGGGGGUUGGGACACAGACGAGGGGAAACAGGGUCAGGCUAUGGAAGGACACAGCCAAGAAGGGGUGGAGGGGUGGGGUGGGGAGGGGAGGCACCUGCACCCUGAGGACCCUGUACAUUUCCAGCACUAGCCCCACAGGUAACCCUUCAGGGACAUGGAAGCAGAGACCCUGCCCUUUUCCCUAGACACUGUGACAGCUACUACUGCUGAGUGCUCUGUGUUCAAACCUGGGAGCAUAGCUUCUGGCCACCUUGGCCCCAGGUUCAGGAAGGACAGCAGCCCAGCCCCAGCCAGGGCAGAGACCCGCAGGUGGGGGCAGGGGUGCUGGCUCCUAUCAUAGCCCCUCCUCUCCCAGGUGACCCUGACCAAGCCCUGCGCCCCAGCUGUCACCUUCGGCAUCAAACACUCUGAUUACAUGACUCCCCUGCUGGUUGAUGUGGAAUAACGCCAGCCCUGCUGUGCCCCAUCACACUCGGCAUCUACACAAGAUCCGCCAGGCCACAGAGCUCGAGGCUGUCUUCACCAGCUGGGCUGGGCCAGCCUGGCCCUGCAGGGCAGAGCACGCUUGUUUGGGCAAUGGUAAUCAGUUACUUUUUUUCUAUGCUAUUUUACCAUUUUUUAAUCUUGUUUUCUGCUAUGCCCAAAUUAUUAAUAAAUCAGAUUGCAUUAAUAA
This 3060-nucleotide small RNA is filed under the name Pan troglodytes (chimpanzee). Its description in RNAcentral is "retained intron". Lineage: Eukaryota; Metazoa; Chordata; Mammalia; Primates; Hominidae. The record is from RNAcentral.